This 403-nucleotide ribosomal RNA is filed under the name uncultured bacterium. RNAcentral's name for it is "bacterial SSU rRNA". It matches the Rfam family "Bacterial small subunit ribosomal RNA", at positions 355 to 774 of the family's 1533-position model. The record is from RNAcentral.
UAGGGAAUUUUGCGCAAUGGGGGAAACCCUGACGCAGCAACACCGCGUGAAUGAUUAAGCCCUUCGGGGUGUAAAGUUCUGUCAGUGGGGACGAAACUUGACGGUAGCCAAGAAGGAAGCCCCGGCUAACUACGUGCCAGCAGCCGCGGUAAUACGUAGGGGGCAAGCGUUGUCCGGAAUGAUUGGGCGUAAAGGGCGCGUAGGCGGAUUGAUAAGUCAGUUGUGAAAGUUUGCGGCUCAACCGUAAAAUUGCAGUUGAUACUGUCAGUCUUGAGUACAGUAGAGGUAAGCGGAAUUCGUGGUGUAGCGGUGAAAUGCUUAGAUAUCACGAAGAACUCCAAUUGCGAAGGCAGCUUGCUGGACUGUAACUGACGCUGAUGCUCGAAAGUGUGGGUAGCGAACA